Molecule: ribosomal RNA, 800 nt
Filed under: uncultured bacterium
Lineage: Bacteria
Description: bacterial SSU rRNA
Rfam family: Bacterial small subunit ribosomal RNA
Source: RNAcentral
AGAGUUUGAUCCUGGCUCAGGAUGAACGCUGGCGGCGUGCUUAACACAUGCAAGUCGAACGAUUAAACCAACUUCGGUUGGAUAUAAAGUGGCGAACGGGUGAGUAACACGUGACCAACCUACCCCGUGCACCGGGACAACCACCGGAAACAGUGGCUAAUACCGGAUAAUGCUAGAUAAGCGCAUGUUUUUCUAGCCAAAGCACAUACGGCACGGGAUGGGGUCGCGGCCCAUCAGGUUGUAGGCGGGGUAACGGCCCACCUAGCUUUCGACGGGUAGCCGAGCUGAGAGGCUGAUCGGCCACAUUGGGACUGAGAUACGGCCCAGACUCCUACGGGAGGCAGCAGUGGGGAAUUUUGCGCAAUGGGGAAACCCUGACGCAGCAACGCCGCGUGCGGAAUGAAAGGCCUUCGGGUUGUAAACCGCUUUCCAGUAGGAAAAGAACACAAUGACGGUACCUACAGAAAAACCCCCGGGUUAACUACGUGCCCAGCAGCCCGCGGGAAAUACGUUAGGGGGGCAAGCGUUAUCCCGGAUUCAUUGGGGCGUAAAGCGCGCGUAGGGGGGACAUCUAAGCGGGGACUCUAUUCCGAAGGCUCAACCUUUACGGCCGGGUUCCGAACUGGAUGUCUCGAGUUGGGUAGGGGAGGUCGGAAUUCCCGGUGUAAGCGGUGGAAUGCGCAAAUAUCGGGAAAACACCGAUGGCGAAGGCAGACCUCUGGGCCCUUUACUGACACUAAGCGCGAAAGUGGGGGAGCAACAGGAUUAGAUACCUGGUAGUCCCAGCGUAACGAUGGGCG